RNAcentral lists this transfer RNA (68 nucleotides) under Lamprotula tortuosa. Its description in RNAcentral is "tRNA-Glu". Lineage: Eukaryota; Metazoa; Mollusca; Bivalvia; Unionida; Unionidae. The record is from RNAcentral.
GUUAGCUUAGUGUAGCACUUUGCACGUCGGAUUUUCAAGCCAAAAGCGCUGGUUAUUAGUAGCUAACU